GGGCGGCUGGCCUAAUGGUAAGGCGCUUGUUUUCGGCGAUAGAUCUUCCGAAAGGAUCCUCUAUGGAAUACACAAGAGAUUGCAGGUUCGAUCCCUGCGUCGCUCA
Penicillium antarcticum is the source of this 106-nucleotide transfer RNA. It matches the Rfam family "tRNA". Rfam says of the family: Transfer RNA (tRNA) molecules are approximately 80 nucleotides in length. Their secondary structure includes four short double-helical elements and three loops (D, anti-codon, and T loops). Lineage: Eukaryota; Fungi; Ascomycota; Eurotiomycetes; Eurotiales; Aspergillaceae. The record is from Rfam.